CAGUCGCCACGGUAAUACGUAGGGUGCAAGCGUUAAUCGGAAUUACUGGGCGUAAAGCGUGCGCAGGCGGUUCUAUAAGACAGAUGUGAAAUCCCCGGGCUCAACCUGGGAACUGCAUUUGUGACUGUAGAGCUGGAGUGCGGCAGAGGGGGAUGGAAUUCCGCGUGUAGCAGUGAAAUGCGUAGAUAUGCGGAGGAACACCGAUGGCGAAGGCAAUCCCCUGGGCCUGCACUGACGCUCAUGCACGAAAGCGUGGGGGGCAAACAGGAUUAGAUACCCCUGUAGUCCCUGUCUCUUAUAC
This 301-nucleotide ribosomal RNA is filed under the name uncultured bacterium. RNAcentral describes it as "partial 16S ribosomal RNA". It matches the Rfam family "Bacterial small subunit ribosomal RNA", at positions 509 to 807 of the family's 1533-position model. The record is from RNAcentral.